This is a non-coding RNA of Acanthosepion pharaonis, 94 nucleotides long. Lineage: Eukaryota; Metazoa; Mollusca; Cephalopoda; Sepiida; Sepiidae. The record is from the annotation of a GenBank genome assembly.
UACACUGGUUCUCGUACGAUCAGCGAAGUUAAGCAACAUCGAGCCUGGUCAGUACCGAGAUGGGUAAUCACUUGGGAAUACCAGGUGCUGUAAG